UGCCAGCCGCCGCGGUAAUACAGAGGUUGCAAGCGUUGUUCGGAUUUACUGGGCGUAAAGGGUGCGUAGGCUGUUUGAUGUGUCAGAUGUGAAAGCCCAUGGCUCAACCAUGGAACUGCAUUUGAAACUGUCAAACUAGAGUAUCGGAGAGGUAGAUGGAAUUCUUAGUGUAGCGGUGAAAUGCGUAGAUAUUAAGAAGAACACCAGCGGCGAAAGCGAUCUACUGGACGAAUACUGACGCUGAGGCACGAAAGCCAGGGGAGCGAAGAGGAUUAGAUA
This 279-nucleotide ribosomal RNA is filed under the name uncultured bacterium. RNAcentral's name for it is "partial 16S ribosomal RNA". It matches the Rfam family "Bacterial small subunit ribosomal RNA", at positions 506 to 784 of the family's 1533-position model. The record is from RNAcentral.